RNAcentral lists this ribosomal RNA (417 nucleotides) under uncultured bacterium. RNAcentral's name for it is "bacterial SSU rRNA". It matches the Rfam family "Bacterial small subunit ribosomal RNA", at positions 355 to 775 of the family's 1533-position model. The record is from RNAcentral.
UGGGGAAUCUUGCGCAAUGGGCGAAAGCCUGACGCAGCGACGCCGCGUGGGUGACGAAGGCCUUCGGGUCGUAAAGCCCUGUGGGGAGGGACGAACAAGCAGCAAUGCCCUGACGGUACCUCCUUAGCAAGCACCGGCCAACUCCGUGCCAGCAGCCGCGGUAAGACGGAGGGUGCAAACGUUGUUCGGAAUUACUGGGCGUAAAGCGCGUGUAGGCGGCGCGACAAGUCGGGCGUGAAAUCCCUCGGCUCAACCGAGCGAACCGCGUUCGAAACUGUCGUGCUGGAGUUCGGGAGAGGGACGCGGAAUUCCCGGUGUAGAGGUGAAAUUCGUAGAUAUCGGGAGGAACACCGGUGGCGAAGGCGGCGUCCUGGACCGAUACUGACGCUGAGACGCGAAAGCGUGGGGAGCAACCAG